This 76-nucleotide transfer RNA is filed under the name Bdellovibrionales bacterium. RNAcentral describes it as "tRNA-Ala". It matches the Rfam family "tRNA". From Rfam's summary of the family: Transfer RNA (tRNA) molecules are approximately 80 nucleotides in length. Lineage: Bacteria; Pseudomonadati; Bdellovibrionota; Bdellovibrionia; Bdellovibrionales. RNAcentral also lists the same sequence under 2 other names. The record is from RNAcentral.
GGGCCUGUAGCUCAGUUGGGAGAGCACUACCUUUGCACGGUAGGGGUCGCAGGUUCGACUCCUGUCAGGUCCACCA